GAGGGUGUAGCUCAGGGGUAAAGUGUGUGCCUAGCGUGCACAAGGUCCUGGGUUCAAUCUCCAGGACCUCCA
Molecule: transfer RNA, 72 nt
Filed under: Camelus bactrianus (Bactrian camel)
Lineage: Eukaryota; Metazoa; Chordata; Mammalia; Artiodactyla; Camelidae
Also listed under: 2 other names
Rfam family: tRNA
About the family: Transfer RNA (tRNA) molecules are approximately 80 nucleotides in length. Their secondary structure includes four short double-helical elements and three loops (D, anti-codon, and T loops).
Source: Rfam by way of RNAcentral